Molecule: ribosomal RNA, 377 nt
Filed under: uncultured eukaryote
Lineage: Eukaryota
Description: partial 18S ribosomal RNA
Rfam family: Eukaryotic small subunit ribosomal RNA
Source: RNAcentral
CAAUAGCGAAUAUUUAAGUUGCUGCAGUUAAAAAGCUCGUAGUUGGAUUUCGGGUGGGAAUGGCCGGUCCGCCGUUUCGGUGUGCACUUGCUACGCCCACCUUGCUGCCGGGGACGUGCUCUUGAGUUCACGCUCGGGACACGGAGUCGGCGAGGUUACUUUGAGUAAAUUAGAGUGUUCAAAGCAGGCCUACGCUCUGAAUACAUUAGCAUGGAAUAACACGAUAGGACUCUGGCCUAUCUUGUUGGUCUGUAGGACCGGAGUAAUGAUUAAGAGGGACAGUCGGGGGCAUUCGUAUUUCAUUGUCAGAGGUGAAAUUCUUGGAUUUAUGAAAGACGAACUACUGCGAAAGCAUUUGCCAAGGAUGUUUUCAUUAA